This 57-nucleotide small RNA is filed under the name Arabidopsis thaliana (thale cress). RNAcentral describes it as "ATSL093040". Lineage: Eukaryota; Viridiplantae; Streptophyta; Magnoliopsida; Brassicales; Brassicaceae. The record is from RNAcentral.
AAUCAUUCUUUACCACUUUCUAAUCCUUUAAAAACGAUUGUAAACCAUGUAAACACU